RNAcentral lists this ribosomal RNA (492 nucleotides) under uncultured bacterium. RNAcentral describes it as "partial 16S ribosomal RNA". It matches the Rfam family "Bacterial small subunit ribosomal RNA", at positions 29 to 507 of the family's 1533-position model. The record is from RNAcentral.
AGUGAACGCUGGCGGUAGGCCUAACACAUGCAAGUCGAACGGCAGCACAGUAAGAGCUUGCUCUUACGGGUGGCGAGUGGCGGACGUGUGAGGAAUACAUCGGAAUCUACUUUUUCGUGGGGGAUAACGUAGGGAAACUUACUCUAAUACCGCAUACGACCUACGGGGGAAAGCAGGGGAUCGUCUGACCUUGCGCGAUUGAAUGAGCCGAUGUCGGAUUAGCUAGUUGGCGGGGUAAAUGCCCACCAAGGCGACGAUCCGUAGCUGGUCUGAGAGGAUGAUCAGCCACACUGGAACUGAGACACGGUCCAGACUCCUACGGGAGGCCGCAGUGGGGAAUAUUGGACAAUGGGCGCAAGCCUGAUCCAGCCAUACCGCGUGGGUGAAGACGGCGUUCGGGUUGUAAAGCCCUUUUGUUGGGAAAGAAAAGCAGCAGGUUAAUACCCCGCUGUUCUGACGGUACCCAAAGAAUAAGCACCGGCUAACUUCGUG